UAGCAUAUCAAUAAGCGGAGGAAAAGAAACCAACAGGGAUUGCCUCAGUAACGGCGAGUGAAGCGGCAACAGCUCAAAUUUGAAAGCUGCCAUCCGGCCGCGUUGUAAUUUGUAGAAGCUGCUUUGGGUGUUGGCCCGGUCUAAGUUCCUUGGAACAGGACGUCAUAGAGGGUGAGAAUCCCGUAUGUGAUCGGUGCCGUUGCCCGUGUAAAGCGCUUUCGACGAGUCGAGUUGUUUGGGAAUGCAGCUCAAAAUGGGUGGUAAAUUUCAUCUAAAGCUAAAUAUUGGCCAGAGACCGAUAGCGCACAAGUAGAGUGAUCGAAAGAUGAAAAGCACUUUGGAAAGAGAGUUAAACAGUACGUGAAAUUGUUGAAAGGGAAGCGCUUGCAACCAGACUUGCGGGCGGUCGAUCAUCCGAGGUUUUCCCCGGUGCACUCGAUCGUUCUCAGGCCAGCAUCGGUUUCCGGGGUGGGAUAAAGGCGGUGGGAAUGUGGCUCUUCGGAGUGUUAUAGCCCACCGUGCCAUGCCGCCUCCGGGGACCGAGGACCGCGCUUCGGCUAGGAUGCUGGCGUAAUGGUUGUAAGCGACCCGUCUUGAAACACGGACCAAGGAGUCUAACAUCUAUGCGAGUGUUUGGGUGUCAAACCCAUCCGCGUAAUGAAAGUGAACGGAGGUAAGAGCCCGUUAGGGUGCAUUAUCGACCGAUCCUGAUGUCUUCGGAUGGAUUUGAGUAAGAGCAUAGCUGUUGGGACCCGAAAGAUGGUGAACUAUGCGUGAAUAGGGUGAAGCCAGAGGAAACUCUGGUGGAGGCUCGCAGCGGUUCUGACGUGCAAAUCGAUCGUCAAAUUUGCGUAUAGGGGCGAAAGACUAAUCGAACCAUCUAGUAGCUGGUUCCUGCCGA
RNAcentral lists this ribosomal RNA (901 nucleotides) under Phialocephala sp. Its description in RNAcentral is "partial large subunit ribosomal RNA". It matches the Rfam family "Eukaryotic large subunit ribosomal RNA", at positions 36 to 964 of the family's 3401-position model. The record is from RNAcentral. Lineage: Eukaryota; Fungi; Ascomycota; Leotiomycetes; Helotiales; Mollisiaceae.